Molecule: ribosomal RNA, 377 nt
Filed under: uncultured bacterium
Lineage: Bacteria
Description: bacterial SSU rRNA
Rfam family: Bacterial small subunit ribosomal RNA
Source: RNAcentral
UAACACGUAGGGUCCGAGCGUUGUCCGGAAUUACUGGGCGUAAAGCGCGCGCAGGCGGUUGGUCGCAUCGGCGGUGAAAGCCCCCCGCUUAACGGGGGAGGGUCCGUCGAGAUGGACUGACUGGAGGCAGGGAGAGGGCGGUGGAAUUCCGGGUGUAGUGGUGAAAUGCGUAGAGAUCCGGAGGAACACCAGUGGCGAAGGCGGCCGCCUGGACCUGACCUGACGCUGAGGCGCGAAGGCGCGGGGAGCGAACGGGAUUAGAUACCCCGGUAGUCCGCGCAGUAAACGAUGCGUGCUGGGUGUGGCGGGAGUUGACCCCCGCCGUGCCGGAGUUAACACGGUAAGCACGCCGCCUGGGGAGUACGGCCGCAAGGCUA